GUAUUCCUAUAGAGGGAGUAACUGCCUGCUACAGCAGGAUUCAAAGUCGUCAUUUCGGAUUCGUCCCGGCUUUGCAGACACUAUUGUUUAGUGAGACUCUAUAGCUAGUU
RNAcentral lists this unclassified non-coding RNA (110 nucleotides) under Acetoanaerobium sticklandii. RNAcentral's name for it is "yybP-ykoY". Lineage: Bacteria; Bacillati; Bacillota; Clostridia; Peptostreptococcales; Filifactoraceae. The record is from RNAcentral.